Non-coding RNA from Paramuricea clavata, 1646 nucleotides. NCBI's taxonomy places the organism in Eukaryota, Metazoa, Cnidaria, Anthozoa, Malacalcyonacea, Plexauridae. The record is from the annotation of a GenBank genome assembly.
CAGAAAUCUGUUAAGAAAUCUUACUUAAAAUGCUGCCCAGGCUACGAGUGUGCAGAAUGUAAGUAUAUAAAAAAACUCAAUACUUAACUGGAAUGAGAGUACAGUCAAUUGCUUGAAUCCAACCUCGUCCCCAGGAUCUUCCUCGUUAUGGCCUGAAUCAGGAUAAGUAAAGUCAGUUAGUAAAGUCAGAUAUCGUAAGUUACGAGUUUCAGUCUCCCGCGCGUACUAAGCGUAUAACAUCAUCGAGUCAAAUUGAACUGAAUUGUUUUCCACUUCAAAUUGUCUUGCAACAUCCGCAAGAUCUCGAUCAAAAUCCCAAAGUCGUCUAGUUACAAUCCUAAAAUCGUGCCAAAAUAUCAAUUUAAAUUCCCUGUUUAAGGGCAUUUUUGCAAGGAUUUUGAAAUCCCAAGAAUCCUAGCACGCUUGUUUCAGAGUAAUAAUACAUCCCUCGUUUAAUCGUUUUCUAAUAAUAUGUAUCAUUAAUUUUCAACCCUGCGCUGUAUGCAUUUCAGUACGAUAAGAUUGAAUUGAAAAACAGAGACUUAAGUUAAGGAAGAUACUAGCCUGCGAACAGGCUCUCUUUGAUCAAAGAACCUGUUCGCAGGCUAGGAAGAUACGGCAUGUCUUUACAAAUACAUGCUCUAUUUUGCUUUAUACGCAAGUAUUUUCUCAAUGCUGUUCAUUUUAUAGAUUGUAGACCAGAGGCCCUUUAUUGUUCCACAAAAGACGAGUCUGCGUGUACAUCAGAUCCCAAAUUUGUCAAAGAUUGCCCAAGGAAAUGUGGCAAAUGCCGUGAGUAGUUAAUUACAUUAUUUAAGGAUAUAGGGCAUGUGAACCACAGCUGCACCCCAGUUACCCGAGGGACAUGUCCUCUUGGACAGCAGGCUGCCUUUUUCCAAGAACUACACUUCGAAAGUUGUAUGUUAUUCACAUGAAUUGAAAUUGAGAAGUGUUUUCAAGCUAGAACUUAACUCAAAUUCCUCUCAGAAACGUUACGAAGACUUUACCAAAAAGUAAAAAGAAGGCCUUUCUAAAUAAUUGACAAAUUGUCAUGUUGUUUUGCAAUGAAUUUUAGACUCUUUAGCGUCAUGCAAUAAAUAAAAUUGUUCCAAUCAAUGCCGAAAUUUCUAUUGGCUAUAAGUAAUUGAGAAUUUUAACGAACAUUGCCGCCCACAAACGUUUGGGCUCAGUAAUAAGUAGUGCCCUUUUUAAAUGGCUGUCGCGCCGCUUCACGUUGUGUCCCCCAGAGUAUGCCCGUUCGCAGGUUUGCCCAGCACCUAACCUGCGAACGGCCAUAUUCUGGGAACGAGAUUGGCGCCCAAUACUUUAUUAAUACUUUAUUUAAGUACUUUUCUUUGUUUUUUAGCCCACAAGUGUGUCAAAAAGAAUUGGGGAGUCACCGUAUAGAAUCUUGUUCAGCACACGAGUAUACAUUGAUAUCAAAAGUCGAACAUGUGCAAAACUUAAAUUUCAAUUUAUUGACUUGGAUGUAGCAUUUUAUUGUCAUUAUGAAGUAAUAAUAUUAAACAUUUUAUUGUGUGGUUUCCAAAAGGGCUUUUUUCAACACUCACUUACAAUAAUGUUACAAGGUUUUAAAUUCUGCAUGUUAUGAUAUGGCCUACAUUGUAAAAGUUUUAUAUUCUGAG